This 263-nucleotide unclassified non-coding RNA is filed under the name plant metagenome. RNAcentral describes it as "partial contains small subunit ribosomal RNA, internal transcribed spacer 1, and 5.8S ribosomal RNA". The record is from RNAcentral.
UUUCCGUAGGUGAACCUGCGGAAGGAUCAUUAUUGUAUACCCGAGGUGCGAGGGCUGUCGCUGACCCGAAAGGUCGUGCACGCCCGAGUGCCCUCACACACAUCCAUCUCACCCCUAUGUGCACCUCCGCGUGGGUCCCCCUUUGGCUUGUUCGGAGGGGGGCUUACGUUUUCACACAAACUUUGUAUGCAGUGUAGAAUGUAUUUUUUGUUUUUGCGAUCACGCAAUCAAUACAACUUUCAACAACGGAUCUCUUGGCUCUC